UACGUAGGGUGCAAGCGUUAUCCGGAAUUAUUGGGCGUAAAGAGCUCGUAGGCGGUUUGUCGCGUCUGGUGUGAAAGUCCAUCGCUUAACGGUGGAUCUGCGCCGGGUACGGGCAGGCUGGAGUGCAGUAGGGGAGACUGGAAUUCCCGGUGUAACGGUGGAAUGUGUAGAUAUCGGGAAGAACACCAAUGGCGAAGGCAGGUCUCUGGGCUGUUACUGACGCUGAGGAGCGAAAGCGUGGGGAGCGAAC
Molecule: ribosomal RNA, 250 nt
Filed under: uncultured bacterium
Lineage: Bacteria
Description: partial 16S ribosomal RNA
Rfam family: Bacterial small subunit ribosomal RNA
Source: RNAcentral